CAGUCGCCGCGGUAAUACAGAGGGUGCGAUCGUUAAUCGGAUUUACUGGGCGUAAAGCGUGCGUAGGCGGCUUCUUAAGUCGGAUGUGAAAUCCCUGAGCUUAACUUAGGAAUUGCAUUCGAUACUGGGAAGCUAGAGUAUGGGAGAGGAUGGUAGAAUUCCAGGUGUAGCGGUGAAAUGCGUAGAGAUCUGGAGGAAUACCGAUGGCGAAGGCAGCCAUCUGGCCUAAUACUGACGCUGAGGUACGAAAGCAUGGGGAGCAAACAGGAUUAGAUACCCCUGUAGUCCCUGUCUCUUAUAC
RNAcentral lists this ribosomal RNA (301 nucleotides) under uncultured bacterium. RNAcentral's name for it is "partial 16S ribosomal RNA". It matches the Rfam family "Bacterial small subunit ribosomal RNA", at positions 509 to 807 of the family's 1533-position model. The record is from RNAcentral.